CCAUCAGAGAAGAGUGGUGUGUUGGACAUGUCUGAAAUAAAAGCUGAGAUGGUGGUGAUGCUCACAAGCCUGGUGUGUUGCUGUGAUUCAUCCUGUGCAAACUGGAACUCUGGUUCACAUCGCAUCUGGUCCUAAGCUCCACAGUUGAGUUGUCCCAUAAGUAGCCAGCACAAGGCAGGCAAGUACUUGUUAUCUUCAUGUCUUUACCUUUUCCUUUUAGACCUUUGAAAUACAGUAACACCAAUGUCUGCAGCUGCUUUUCCUCCAUACACUUCAGUUCUUGAGAACAAAGGAGCAACCACACAUAGGCCUUGACUGUUUGGGCCUCAGGCAUCCUGUGACAGUAUUCCUGGCUCUUCCAUCUAAAUGAGAUCUUACUCAAGUAGUUCUGCAUUGUUAACUAAGGCAAUCCCUGAAUCAAACAUGUUACUCUCAUCCUCCUAGCCCUUCCCCUGUCUGCUGUGAUUCAGUUUCUGGGCUGACCAGCCUAGAGCAGUGGACUCCCAAGUUUUGUGUGGAUGUAUUGGCAAGGGGGGUAACUCCUAGACAACUGCUUGAUCAGUCAGAUUGAGCAAUCAGAUGAUAUCUCCAAGGAACAGCUGAGAAACUGAAAGGGAUUGAGACUUACUUCAGAGGCAAGCUAUGAACAGGAAAGAUUUGGCUUUUAAGGGAUGUAACAGGAAGGACUUGGUAAAUUGG
Molecule: long non-coding RNA, 699 nt
Filed under: Cricetulus griseus (Chinese hamster)
Lineage: Eukaryota; Metazoa; Chordata; Mammalia; Rodentia; Cricetidae
Description: lncRNA (ENSCGRG00015038625.1)
Source: RNAcentral